AAAAAAACGCAUACCUCCCUGUUCCGUUCCCCUCAAAAGGAAAAAAACUCCAUGACUGAUAUGAACCACAUCUAACUUCUGUGGCCAAAACAAUAUCAAGCUCAAACACAACAAAUUAAAACCCACACCAAAUCAAACAACAUCUAACUUAUGGGUUUUUGGAUUUUGUAAUUCUUUUUUUCUCUCAUCUGCAAAUUAAAACCCACACCCAUAUGAAAUUUGCUUUUAAUUUUCAGCAAGUUUCAAAGUCCAAAUUUUUUUUUGGUUAAAGAGGGAAAGAAAAAACAGAAAAACACAAAGGAAAAAGAAAAACUACUAGCCACGGGGGAAGUAAGUUCCCCAAGCAUCAUCCUUUAAGAGAGGAAGCAAUCCAUAGGGGGGUUGCAUGAAUAGGCAAGGUUGAGUCUACGGAAGCUCCCAACUUCGCAAGAAAGUCGGCGCAGCGGUUCCCCUCACGAAGAGUGUGCAACUUUGAGAGUCGAAUCAGAUCCUUGAUGUCUUGGAUAAGAGUAGCAUACGCAUGAUAGACCACUGAAGGCCCGUUGAUGAGGUUGACGUAGUGGAGAGAGUCUGAAUAGCAAACAACAUCAACAAUGUUCAAGGUUUGAGCUAGCUGUAACCCCAUAAGAAUAGCAUGUAAUUCAGCAAACAAAAUGUCAUUCGAGUGGUCUAUGUGACCAGAAAAACCGGAGUUGAAGAACCCAAAAUGUUCAAGGUUUCAAAGUCCAAAUUGAUGCAUGUGUUAAAAAUGGGUUCUUUGUUUACUAGGUAAUCUUUGUGCUCUAUUUAUUUGAUUUGGUAAAUUCCCCAUGAAUCCAAUUUGAUGCAGGUUCUUCAAAGGUGAAACACCCUUUUGACAAGCUUGUGAUGUCUAUUCCCACUAUGGAAGCUUUAUUUCUUGCUCUGUUAGUAGUACAAAG
This 920-nucleotide long non-coding RNA is filed under the name Medicago truncatula (barrel medic). RNAcentral describes it as "lncRNA gene32097". The record is from RNAcentral. Lineage: Eukaryota; Viridiplantae; Streptophyta; Magnoliopsida; Fabales; Fabaceae.